CAGCUCCAGUGGUUCGAGAGCUGAGAUUGGCUCUGCUCGCCCCAGCGGAGCUAAGCGCCCUGGAAGAACAGAACCGACGGGAGCCUCUCAUUCCGGUUGAACAAAUUGUGGAGGCAUGGAAGUGCCACGCCCUACGCAGAGGAGAUGCGGCCCGGAGCGCACUGUGCCGCCGGCGGAGGGGCACCUUGCCUCGGGAUCACCAUCGUUUUCUGGACCUUCGUUUCUAAUGAUCCACUUCCGGAUCGUUCUAGGACGUUAACCACUCCCCAAACUACAGUUCCCAGGGUGCUAUUCGCUGGAGGUGGUCUUCCUUUCCCAGCAAGCUCAGCAGCCGGAUACGGGAAGGACCGUUUUUUGCGUCUGGAGUAAUAGCUAAAGCCUCCGUGGGAGAGUAGGGUUUGGACAGUGGGCCCAAGGGGCUAGACUGUGGGCUUGGGUGAUGUCCUGAGACCGGAAACGGGGGUGGCCUUUGUUGCAUGAGCUCAUGCUUCUUCAAGUCGGUCUGCACCCCUGUACUCGGGUGACGCUCUAUUUAGCUCAUCCUCUUUAACAAACCAGCUUCCUGGCUCCAGGCUCAGCGCAGAUUUGAGCUUCUCACUUUCCCAGCCCUGGAAAUAGUGUUUGUUUUUUUCUGUGGGUCUGGAGCCCGGACCUCUUCCUUACCUACCUCAUGCCUUGUCUCCCUCUUAAUACUACUUCCUCGUUGGUUUAGUCUGAAGCCUAUCUUUCAUCACAUUUUGGGGUAUUUUCUACCACUACCCCAGCCAGUGCCCCUCACUCCUUUCCCCCUCGGGGUUACAAUAUUCCCUAUGAUGGUCCCAUGCCAUGAUUGUCA
RNAcentral lists this long non-coding RNA (835 nucleotides) under Rattus norvegicus (Norway rat). RNAcentral describes it as "long non-coding RNA NONRATT023504". The record is from RNAcentral. Lineage: Eukaryota; Metazoa; Chordata; Mammalia; Rodentia; Muridae.